AGUCUGGUGCCAGCAGCCGCGGUAAUUCCAGCUCCAAGAGUGUAUAUUAAAGUUGUUGCGGUUAAAAAGCUCGUAGUUGAAUUUCUGAAAAUAAUAUUGUGAUUGAUUUAACCGUCAUGAUCAAAAAUUAUUAUCAUACUUGAUAGGUGGAAACAUUUAUCUUAAUUACUUUGAAAAAAUUAGAGUGUUCAAAGCAAGAUUCACAUCUGAAUAAUACAGCAUGGGAUAAUAUAAUAUGACAUUAGUUAAAAUUUGUUGGUUUCUUUGGCUAAUGUAAUGAUUAAAAGGGACAGUUGGGGUAAUUUAUAUUGGUUGGGGAGGGGUGAAAUCCUAUGAUCCUUCCAAGAUAAACUAGUGCGAAAGCAUUUUACCAGGAUGUUUUCAUUAAUCAAGAACGAAAGUUGGGGGAUCGAAGAUGAUCAGAUACCGUCGUAGUCUCAACCAUAAACUAUGUCGACUAAGGAUGAUAAAAUAUUAAAUGAAUGAUUUUUGUCGCACUUUACAAGAAAUUAUAAGUAUUCAGACUCCGGGGGGAGUAUGGUCGCAAGGCUGAAACUUAAAGGAAUUGACGGAAGGGCACCACCAGGAGUGGAACCUGCGGCUUAAUUUGACCCAACACGGGGAAACUUACUAGGUCAGGACACAGUAAGGAUUGACAGAUUGAAAGCUCUUUCUUGAUUUUGUGGAUGGUGGUGCAUGGCCGUUUUUAGUUGGUGGAUUGAUUUGUCUGGUUAAUUCCGAAAACGAACGAGACCUUAACCUGUUAACUAUGUGAUAUUAAAAUUCGAUCUCGGUCUAAAUCUUUGAUAUUAAAAAUUUAAUACUUCUUAAAGGAACAAUUCAAACUUUAAUUGAAAGGAAGUUUAAGGCAAAAACAGGUCUGUGAUGCCCUUCGAUGUUCUGGGCUGCACGCGCGUUACACUGAUAUGUUCAAUAAGUUUUUAAAUUUCCUGGUCUGAAAAGAUUUGGUAAACUUUGAAAAGCAUAUCGUGAUUGGGAUAGUAUUUUGUAAUUAUCGCACUUGAACGAGGAAUUCCUAGUAGGGGCAAUUCAUCAAAUUGCCCCGAUUACGUCCCCGCCCUUUGUACACACCGCCCGUCGCUUCUACCGAUUGAAUAAUGCGAUGAGGAUUCAGGAUCGAAUAGAAUUAAUUGUUUGAAAGGAUAAUUAAGACUAUUUGCUAAUUUAUUCAAAUCUUAUUAUUUAGAGGAAGGAGAAGUCGUAACAAGGUUUCCGUUGGUGUCCAGCGGAAG
This 1253-nucleotide ribosomal RNA is filed under the name metagenome. RNAcentral describes it as "SSU rRNA". It matches the Rfam family "Eukaryotic small subunit ribosomal RNA", at positions 558 to 1823 of the family's 1831-position model. The record is from RNAcentral.